This 242-nucleotide ribosomal RNA is filed under the name uncultured bacterium. RNAcentral describes it as "partial 16S ribosomal RNA". It matches the Rfam family "Bacterial small subunit ribosomal RNA", at positions 65 to 334 of the family's 1533-position model. The record is from RNAcentral.
AACGCCCUCGCAAGGGGGAGUGGCAGACGGGUGAGUAACACGUGGGAACAUACCCUUUGGUUCGGAAAAACUUCGGGAAACUGAGGCUAAUACCGGAUACGGCCUGAUGGGCGAAAGAUUGAUCGCCGAAGGAUUGGCCCGCGUUCGAUUAGCUAGUUGGUACGGUAAUGGCGUACCAAGGCGACGAUCGAUAGCUGGUCUGAGAGGAUGGCCAGCCACAUUGGGACUGAGACACGGCCCAA